UCCAAGGCUAAAUACUCCUGACUGACCGAUAGUGAACCAGUACCGUGAGGGAAAGGCGAAAAGAACCCCGGCGAGGGGAGUGAAAAAGAACCUGAAACCGUGUACGUACAAGCAGUGGGAGCACCUUUAUGGUGUGACUGCGUACCUUUUGUAUAAUGGGUCAGCGACUUAUAUUCUGUAGCAAGGUUAACCGUAUAGGGGAGCCGCAGGGAAACCGAGUCUUAACUGGGCGUUAAGUUGCAGGGUAUAGACCCGAA
RNAcentral lists this ribosomal RNA (257 nucleotides) under Klebsiella aerogenes. Its description in RNAcentral is "partial 23S ribosomal RNA". It matches the Rfam family "Bacterial large subunit ribosomal RNA", at positions 459 to 719 of the family's 2925-position model. RNAcentral also lists the same sequence under 3 other names. The record is from RNAcentral. Lineage: Bacteria; Pseudomonadati; Pseudomonadota; Gammaproteobacteria; Enterobacterales; Enterobacteriaceae.